Molecule: long non-coding RNA, 1753 nt
Organism: Heterocephalus glaber (naked mole-rat)
Lineage: Eukaryota; Metazoa; Chordata; Mammalia; Rodentia; Bathyergidae
Source: Ensembl
UCAGCAUCAUGUAGGAACUUGAUAAAACUGCACAUCCUCCUACCACCAAGGCUAUUUUGUUUUUGUUUUGUUGUUUGUUUCUUUCUUUUGGUGGCACUGGGAAAGGAACCCAGGACCUCACAUUUGCUAGGUCAGAACUGUACCACUGAGCUACACCUCUAGGUCUACUUGGUUUUGCCGUAUGAAAAGCUCUGAAGGGGGCCAGGGAUCUACCUCAGUGGUUCUGCUGCUUACCUCACAAGCAGAAGGUCCUGAGUUCCACUGCCAGUACCAAAACAAACAAACAAACAACAACAACAAACUCCGAAGGUGGUUCCCACCAAUCUGCAAUGUUUCGAAGGCACCUCAAGUGAUUCUGACUUUGAGAACUUGACUAAGCUCCCCCCUGCCCGCUCUGAGGAGCUUGUGAUUCCCAUGGCAGUACUGUUCUUACAUACACACCUACAUACAUACAUACCUGUGUGCCCCUAGGUAAACUGCGGGAAAACCAGGGAUUUACAUCCCACCCUAAGCCUCUCCUCUCACUCUAUACCAUGUCCAACAACAUCUCUAGCCUGCACCCAAGACACCCAAAACUCAAGGUCAUGAAAAAAACCCGGAUUCUCCAGGGCCGGGGAUUUAGCUCAGUGGCUCCAGCGCUUGCCUUGCAAGCUCAAGGCCCCGAGUUCGAUUGCCGGUACCAAAUACAAACCAACCAACCAACCAACCAACCAACCAACAAAACACCCCAGGACUCUCUACUUCCCUCAAGCUGGCUCUCCUCCAAUGGGCUUUAUGAUCACGAUUCUGAAGGACAUUCUCUGUAGUUAUACACACGGACCCCAGGGAGAGAUACCACGGCAGGACCUUGAGUCAGAUUUCAGGGAGCAAGGAUGAAACAAAACCAACUCGGGCCAGGGAAUUAGCUCAGGGGUGCAGCUGCCUCCCUCGCAAGCACAAGGUCCUCAGUUCAAUCCCCGGUACUGGAGGGAAAGAAAAACAUGUGAGGCCAACAAAAUGAAUUCCAAGACCUUGCCUGUUUUAGGAGGAGGAUCAGCUGGUUAAAGAAAGGAUUCAAGCUUUCGAUUCGGGAGGCUACAGAUUGAACAAAGUAAAUUUAAAUGAAGCAGAAAGAUAAAUAGUAACGACAGAAAUUCCUGAUGUAAAAGGAUAAAAAUCAGCAGCACUCACCAAGAACUCCCAAAGCUGGUUCUUCCAAAAGAUUAAAAUAAGCGAUCACUGAGCACGUCUGGCCAAUAAACACUAGUGUUGAAAAGGGUAACAUCACAGAUAUACGAGUUUCUUUUCCUCCAACGAACUAUACAGAGCAUUGUGCUACCCUAGGUUAAAAUUCAAUAGUAUUGAAAUUCAAGGACAUUAAUGGCUUUCUAGGACAACGAAAAGUACCAGACUGACUUUGAAGAGAUAGAAAAUCUGAAAAUCAUCAAUGGCCAUGGAAAAAAGCUACACGGCAGUUAACUUUCCAAAAACAGCAGCAGGGCAGGGGGUGCAACUCAGUGGGAGAAAACUUGCCUAACUUGGCCUAGGCUCUGGACUCAAUCCUCAGCACUGCAAGACACAAACGAGACAAAACACCAGCAGUCUGCAGUCAGGUGCUGCCAAACUUCCAGAAACAGAUUAUUCUUCUGUUCCAGAGCACAGAAAAUGAUGACAAGUUUCCCGAUUUAAUCACCAAGGAGAGCAUAAUUCUGAUUAGGAGCUCACAAACAAUACGGGAGGAAAAAGAACUAUACAAUCUCACUUAUAAAUAUGG